RNAcentral lists this ribosomal RNA (461 nucleotides) under uncultured Desulfobulbus sp. RNAcentral's name for it is "bacterial SSU rRNA". It matches the Rfam family "Bacterial small subunit ribosomal RNA", at positions 925 to 1382 of the family's 1533-position model. The record is from RNAcentral. Lineage: Bacteria; Pseudomonadati; Thermodesulfobacteriota; Desulfobulbia; Desulfobulbales; Desulfobulbaceae.
ACAAGCGGUGGAGUAUGUGGUUAAUUCGAUGCAACGCGAAGAACCUUACCUGGUCUUGACAUCCCGGAGACCCUUAGGAAACUAGGGGUGCUUCCAUCUGGAAGAAUCUGGAGACAGGUGCUGCAUGGCUGUCGUCAGCUCGUGUCGUGAGAUGUUGGGUUAAGUCCCGCAACGAGCGCAACCCUUGCCUUUAGUUGCCAGCAGUUCGGCUGGGCACUCUAAAGGGACUGCCGGUGUUAAACCGGAGGAAGGUGGGGAUGACGUCAAGUCCUCAUGGCCUUUAUGACCAGGGCUACACACGUACUACAAUGGCCGGUACAAAGGGCAGCGACACUGCGAGGUGAAGCCAAUCCCGUAAAAUCGGUCUCAGUCCGGAUUGGAGUCUGCAACUCGACUCCAUGAAGUUGGAAUCGCUAGUAAUCGUGGAUCAGCAUGCCACGGUGAAUACGUUCCCGGGCCUU